Molecule: ribosomal RNA, 448 nt
Filed under: uncultured bacterium
Lineage: Bacteria
Description: bacterial SSU rRNA
Rfam family: Bacterial small subunit ribosomal RNA
Source: RNAcentral
GCCAGACUCCUACGGGAGGCAGCAGUGGGGGAUAUUGCACGAUGGGGGAAACCCUGAUGCAGCGACGCCGCGUGAGUGAAGAAGUAUUUCGGUAUGUAAAGCUCUAUCAGCAGGGAAGAAAAAAGACGGUACCUGACUAAGAAGCCCCGGCUAACUACGUGCCAGCAGCCGCGGUAAUACGUAGGGGGCAAGCGUUAUCCGGAUUUACUGGGUGUAAAGGGAGCGUAGACGGCAAUACAAGUCGGAAGUGAAAUACCCGGGCUCAACCUGGGAAUUGCUUUGGAAACUGUAUGGCUGGAGUGCUGGAGAGGUAAGCGGAAUUCCUAGUGUAGCGGUGAAAUGCGUAGAUAUUAGGAGGAACACCAGUGGCGAAGGCGGCUUACUGGACGGCAACUGACGCUGAGGCUCGAAAGCGUGGGGAGCAAACAGGAUUAGAUACCCCGGUAAA